CUCCGUAGGUGAACCUGCGGAGGGAUCAUUG
Molecule: ribosomal RNA, 31 nt
Filed under: Diaporthe eres
Lineage: Eukaryota; Fungi; Ascomycota; Sordariomycetes; Diaporthales; Diaporthaceae
Also listed under: 3 other names
Description: partial 18S ribosomal RNA
Source: RNAcentral